AUGAUGCAGCAGAAGAAGAAGAAGUCUGGGA
This 31-nucleotide small RNA is filed under the name Arabidopsis thaliana (thale cress). Its description in RNAcentral is "ATSL022400". The record is from RNAcentral. Lineage: Eukaryota; Viridiplantae; Streptophyta; Magnoliopsida; Brassicales; Brassicaceae.